AUGUCUUCACCGCCGCCCAACCCGUCUCUCCCGCUAUCCUCCGUCGCGCCCGCCCCCGUCGUCCUCACCCCGGAGGAGGUGUCUGGGGCGCUGCGGGACCUAACCCAGGCGGUCCAGGAGAUCCACCUGUUCUUGGCCGGGUCCUACGGGCCGCACCCGGCUGCGCCACAUGGGAUGCCGUGGCAGCCGCCGCACAAGGCGGCCUCCGCUGCAGCUGCCAUCCACCGCCACCGCCGCCCCGCCCUGGCUACAGUGGCAGCCGCCGCUCCUGGCGGCCUCCGCCAUGCCUGGCGCUCCGCCACAGCAGCCGCUGCAGCUGCAGCAGCCACCGCCGGUCAGCUCCGGCCCCGCAUCGCCCGCGCCGGCGAGAGUCCCGAUCCACCAGGUCCGGUUCCCGCCCUCGCCGUCACCGCUUCUGUCUUGGAUCGCUACCCACCACGUGUCGGCGGCAGUGAGGUUGCAGGCUGCUGCGCGCGGCUCCUAGCGCAUCGGCGUGUGCGGGAGAUGUGUGGUCUGCAGCUGCCGCUCCUCCAAAUUUCCCUUCGCUGCGCAAAGGACCUCGAUCUCGUCCGCUGCGUCGGGGAUCUUGGGCAUGCGGUUUCCCCCACGGGCGGUGGGCAUGCUGCUUUCCCCGUGGGCAGCGACCUCAAAGUCUGCGACAUCGGUGGUUGGGGGACGCACCCCUCCUCGUCAUUCUCCACCGCAAGCCCUUCAUUCUUCCCCUGUGCGGUGCACACCAACAGCCAUACACAUGCACUCCUUUUGUCCAGGUGGUGUCCAUGGGAUCCAAGUGGCUGUACAUGUGCACGUCCAAAAUAG
This 819-nucleotide ribosomal RNA is filed under the name Triticum aestivum (bread wheat). RNAcentral describes it as "partial small subunit ribosomal RNA". Lineage: Eukaryota; Viridiplantae; Streptophyta; Magnoliopsida; Poales; Poaceae. The record is from RNAcentral.